UAUGUAGGUGGCGAGCGUUGUCCGGAUUUAUUGGGUUUAAAGGGUGCGUAGGCGGUCCUAUAAGUCAGUGGUGAAAUAUCGCAGCUCAACUGUGAGGGUGCCAUUGAUACUGUAGGACUUGAGUGAAUUUGAGGUAGGCGGAAUUGACGGUGUAGCGGUGAAAUGCUUAGAUAUCGUCAAGAACACCGAUAGUGAAGACAGCUUACCAAGCUUCAACUGACGCUGAGGCACGAAAGUGUGGGGAUCAAACAGG
Molecule: ribosomal RNA, 253 nt
Filed under: uncultured bacterium
Lineage: Bacteria
Description: partial 16S ribosomal RNA
Rfam family: Bacterial small subunit ribosomal RNA
Source: RNAcentral